UUUCCGUAGGUGAACCUGCGGAAGGAUCAUUACAGAGUUCAUGCCCGUAAGGGUUGACCUCCCACCCUUGUGUAUUAUUAGGUUGUUGCUUUGGCGGGCGCGAGGUCGCCAGAGAAUACCGAAACUCUGUUUAUUAAUGUCGUCUGAGUACUAUAUAAUAGUUAAAACUUUAAACAACGGAUCUCUUGGUUCUG
RNAcentral lists this unclassified non-coding RNA (194 nucleotides) under plant metagenome. RNAcentral's name for it is "partial contains small subunit ribosomal RNA, internal transcribed spacer 1, and 5.8S ribosomal RNA". The record is from RNAcentral.